UCCAGUGACGAUGGCAAAGAGGCCACACCCGUUCCCAUCCCGAACACGGAAGUUAAGCUCUUUUGCGCCGAUGGUAGUUGGGGGUUUCCCCCUGUGAGAGUAGGACGUCGCUGG
This 114-nucleotide ribosomal RNA is filed under the name Planococcus glaciei. Lineage: Bacteria; Bacillati; Bacillota; Bacilli; Caryophanales; Caryophanaceae. The record is from RNAcentral.